Long non-coding RNA from Parasteatoda tepidariorum (common house spider), 1359 nucleotides. The record is from RefSeq and is a predicted model, not a curated record. NCBI's taxonomy places the organism in Eukaryota, Metazoa, Arthropoda, Arachnida, Araneae, Theridiidae.
AAACUUUUGACCAGUUAAAAAUGUUGAUCUCUCUUUAAGACGUUUUUAAGUAUUUAAUUUUAGUUUUUUAAAGUAAUAUCACAAUCUCCUACAGAUUUUCAUCCAGGUUACAUGGAAAAUGGAUGUGGUUUUAUGGAGAAUAUAUCUGGGGAUGCGACUACAGUAAUGAUGGUGGAAAUAUUUGCCUAAAUGGAUGGAAAGACACUUUAUUUGGAGAUGUGACUACAAUAAUGAUGGUGGAAAUAUUCGGCUAGAUGUUUGGGUUUAUCUGGAGACGAGACAAUGAAAAUAUUUUGCUCGAAAUGCAUCUAAAGUGCAUAUGACGAAAAGGAAUGGCAGAUAGGAACUACUGGUUUCAUGUAUUCCUUCUACGAUAAACUACAUGGAGAUUUAUCUGCUACUUAUCUGUCAUAAUUGCAGCGUUCAGGUCUUCAACAUUUAUUUAUGUUCUAUUGACUGGUCUCGUAUCUUCGGUGCUUUUCAUUGCAAAUUUCAUUGUUAUCUUUUCGUAGCUCAAUCCCAGCACGAGAUCAGUUGACGAAUGAUAGAAUUUUAUGUCGUUUAAUUCUGUAGUAAUGUUUUAAGACUACCUGUUCUGGAAAUCUGUGUGCCUGAGAUGUUAAGUUGAAAUUGUAUACUACUAGAAUAGGUAGGUAAUGUUUUUUAAUAAAGGUAUGAGCUAUAUAUAUAUUAAAAUUUUGACCGAAAUUUUAAUUACAGUGAAAUUUAAGUUAAACGUUUAAGUACUUUUUACGCAAACGUAGUUAGUUUUGACAGAUAAGCUUAAAUUCUAUAAAAUAAACAGCCAAAUUACAGGACGAUUACGGUUCUUAAUUUAAAUAGAAACACCAGGAUUAUACACAGUUGUAUAGGUCUUCUUGAAGGGGCUUUAGAGCGAAAGUAGUAUCAUUCGCGCUCCAAAUAUUAACUGUUAGUUUGAUAGCAGGAAUACUGAACAAAUUUAUCAUCGGUGCAUUACUCAAAUCUACAAUCGCAAUUUGACAUUUUUAAAAAGAGUAACCGAAAAUUCUCUACGCUACUAAAUUCGAGGUUAAAACUUAAUUGAUAUUCGUAGACUUCUAAACACUAUUAAUUUAAUUACUAUUAAUUUUUCGAAAUUUUUCUGUUUGAUUUGGAGAUUGAUAUAGCGCUAACAUAAAAGCUUGUGUAGGACGGAAAAUUUUGAAAUUUCUGAGCAAGUGUGGAGUUCGAAUUGGUGGCGGCAGGUCUGCUCCCUCUUCCCCACUUGUACGUUGCUGUACGUGAAAACUCUCCGCUCUGACGUACUUUAAUUUAGAACGUUCUUUAUGUUUAGAAAUUUAUGUCUUCAAAGUGAGAUAUUGUAACUUAGAAAUUGAA